Long non-coding RNA from Leptopilina boulardi, 503 nucleotides. RefSeq lists it as uncharacterized. Lineage: Eukaryota; Metazoa; Arthropoda; Insecta; Hymenoptera; Figitidae. The record is from RefSeq and is a predicted model, not a curated record. The transcript is spliced from 2 exons.
UCAAAUGCUUUAAAAAUCAGUUUAUAGUUCUUAACUGCCAAUGAUGUAUCACAUAUAUUUUUUUUUUUAAAAAAAAGGAAAAUAUAUAAAGAAACGAAAAAAAUGGAAUUUUAAAUUACAAAAAAAUAUUAUUUGGAAAAUUAUCUAUUAAGUUAUAUAACAAUAAGACACGUUUUUCAUUACGUUGAUUUAUGGAUAUUUUCAAUUCUCAAAUAUUGGUAACAUUAUGGAUUUUCCGAAUUUGUCAAGGUGUUAAGACACUUUAGAUUCAUAAUAAAAGAAAGUAAAUUUUGCAUUGUGAGGAUCAGAAUCCCUAUGCGCAUAGGGAUUUUGAUUCACACAAUGCAAAAUUUGUUUUCUUUUAUUUGAUAUUCAACGAACGCAGAGAAAUUCGAUUUAAAAUUUUGGACUUCAUUAUAGUAGUAAUUUAGAUCUUAUUUCUAAAUUAGUCUACUUUUGCCUCUUCAUGACAAGAAAUUCAGAAAUAAAUAUGUUAAAAACAG